Molecule: ribosomal RNA, 256 nt
Filed under: uncultured bacterium
Lineage: Bacteria
Description: partial 16S ribosomal RNA
Rfam family: Bacterial small subunit ribosomal RNA
Source: RNAcentral
UACAGAGGGUGCGAGCGUUUGUCCGGGAAUCACUGGGCGUAAGGGCGCGUAGGUGGUGGCUUAAGCGUGCGGUGAAAGCUCGGGGCUCAACUCCGAGUCGGCCGUGCGAACUGGGCUCACUGGAGCAUAGUAGAGGCAGGUGGAAUUCCGGGUGUAGCGGUGGAAUGCGUAGAGAUCCGGAAGAACACCGGGUGGCGAAGGCGGCCUGCUGGGCUAUGGCUGACACUGAGGCGCGACAGCGUGGGGAGCAAACAGG